AGCUCCAAUAGCGUAUAUUAAAGUUGUUGCGGUUAAAAAGCUCGUAGUUGGAUUUCUGUCGAGGUCAGCCGGUGUGAACUUCGUUCAUUAUUUGGUUUGGUCUUGGCAUCCUCCUGGGGAGCGGUCCGUUCUUAAUUGGACGGCCGAGAUUCAGGACUUUUACUUUGAGGAAAUUAGAGUGUUCACGGCAGGCAAGUGCUUUGAAUACAUUAGCAUGGAAUAAUAAUAUAGGACCUUUGUUCUAUUUUGUUGGUUUCUAGAGCUUAGGUAAUGAUUAAUAGGGACAAUUGGGGCAUUCGUAUUAACGCGUCAGAGGUGGAAUUCUUGGAUUGCGUUACGACGAACUACUGCGAAAGCAUUUGCCAAAGAUGU
This 372-nucleotide ribosomal RNA is filed under the name uncultured eukaryote. RNAcentral's name for it is "SSU rRNA". It matches the Rfam family "Eukaryotic small subunit ribosomal RNA", at positions 587 to 967 of the family's 1831-position model. The record is from RNAcentral.